AGCAGCCGCGGUAAUUCCAGCUCCAAUAGCGUAUAUUAAAGUUGUUGCAGUUAAAAAGCUCGUAGUUGAACUUCAGGCCUGUCCAGACGGUCCGCCUUAAUUGGUGUGUACUGUCCUUGGGUGGGUCCUACCUUCUGGCGAAGCGGCAUGGCCUUAAUUGGUUGUGUCGGGGAACCAGGACUUUUACUGUGAAAAAAUUAGAGUGUUCAAAGCAGGCAAAUAUGCUCGAAUACAUUAGCAUGGAAUAAUGGAAUAGGACGAUGGUUCUAUUUUGUUGGUUCUAGGACCGUUGUAAUGAUUAAUAGGGAUAGUUGGGGGCAUUAGUAUUCAAUUGUCAGAGGUGAAAUUCUUGGAUUUAUUGAAGACUAACUACUGCGAAAGCAUUUGCCAAGGAUGUUUUCAUUAAUCAAGAACGAAAGUUAAGGGGAUCGAAGACGAUCAGAUACCGUCGUAGUCUUAACCAUAAACUAUGCCGACUAGGAAUCGGGCGAUGUUGACAAAAUGACUCGCUCGGCACCUA
RNAcentral lists this ribosomal RNA (520 nucleotides) under uncultured Paraglomus. RNAcentral's name for it is "bacterial SSU rRNA". It matches the Rfam family "Eukaryotic small subunit ribosomal RNA", at positions 569 to 1089 of the family's 1831-position model. The record is from RNAcentral. Lineage: Eukaryota; Fungi; Glomeromycota; Glomeromycetes; Paraglomerales; Paraglomeraceae.